RNA transcript from Eubalaena glacialis (North Atlantic right whale), 4919 nucleotides. It is a transcript of the gene named polyhomeotic homolog 3, with no coding region annotated. The transcript is spliced from 16 exons. NCBI's taxonomy places the organism in Eukaryota, Metazoa, Chordata, Mammalia, Artiodactyla, Balaenidae. The record is from RefSeq and is a predicted model, not a curated record.
AGUGAUGGAGGAGAGAAGAUGGCGGAAGCGGAGUUUAAGGACCACAGUACAGCUAUGGAUAGUGAACCAAACCCUGGAACAUCUUCGGUAUCGACAACAGCCAGUAGCACCACCACGACCACCAUCACCACUUCCUCCUCUCGAAUGCAGCAACCACAGAUCUCUGUCUAUAGUGGCUCAGACCGACAUGCUGUACAGGUAAUUCAACAGGCAUUGCACCGCCCUCCCAGCUCAGCUGCUCAGUAUCUACAGCAAAUGUAUGCCGCCCAGCAGCAGCACUUAAUGCUGCACACAGCAGCUCUCCAGCAGCAGCACUUAAGCAGCUCCCAGCUUCAGAGCCUUGCUGCUGUUCAGGCAAGUUUGUCCAGUGGAAGACCACCUACAUCCCCCACAGGAAGUGUCACACAGCAGUCAAGUAUGUCCCAGACAUCUAUCAACCUCUCUACUUCUCCUACACCUGCACAGUUAAUAAGCCGUUCCCAGGCUUCCAGUUCUACCAGUGGCAGUAUUACCCAACAGACUAUGUUACUAGGGAGUACCUCCCCUACCCUAACGGCAAGCCAAGCUCAAAUGUAUCUCCGAGCUCAAAUGCUGAUUUUCACACCCGCUACCACUGUGGCUGCUGUACAGUCUGACAUUCCUGUUGUCUCGUCGUCAUCGUCAUCUUCCUGUCAGUCUGCAGCUACUCAGGUUCAGAAUUUAACAUUACGCAGCCAGAAGUUGGGUGUAUUAUCUAGCUCACAAAAUGGUCCACCAAAAAGUACUAGUCAAACUCAGUCAUUGACAAUUUGUCAUAACAAAACAACAGUGACCAGUUCUAAAAUCAGCCAACGAGAUCCUUCUCCAGAAAGUAAUAAGAAAGGAGAAAGUCCAAGUCUGGAAUCACGAAGCACAGCUGUCACCCGGACAUCAAGUAUUCACCAGUUAAUAGCACCAGCUUCAUAUCCUCCAAUUCAGCCUCAUCCUCUAAUAAAACAUCAGCAGAUUCCUCUUCAUUCGCCUCCUCCCAAAGUUUCCCACCAUCAGCUGAUGCUACAACAGCAGCAACAGCAAAUUCAGCCAAUCACACUUCAAAGUCCAACUCAAGACCCACCGCCAUCCCAGCACUGUUUACCACUCCAAAACCACGGCCUGCCUCCAGCUCCCAGUAGUGCCCAGUCACAGCAUUGUUCCCCAAUUCAGAGUCAUCCCCCUCCUCUAACAGUGUCUCCUAGCCAGUCACAGUCAGCACAGCAGUCUGUAGUGGUGUCUCCUCCACCACCUCAUUCACCAAGUCAGUCUCCUACUAUAAUUAUUCAUCCACAAGCACUUAUUCAGCCACACCCACUUGUGUCAUCAGCUCUCCAGCCAGGGUCAAACUUGCAGCAGUCCACUGCUAAUCAGGUGCAACCUACAGCACAGCUGAAUCUUCCAUCCCAUCUUCCACUUCCAGCUUCCCCUGUUGUACACAUUGGCCCAGUUCAGCAGUCCGCCUUGGUGUCCCCAGGUCAGCAGAUUGUGUCUCCAGCAUCACACCAGCAAUAUUCAACCCUGCAGUCCUCUCCAAUCCCAAUUGCAACCCCUCCGCAGAUGUCGACAUCUCCUCCAGCUCAGAUUCCACCGCUGCCCUUGCAGUCUAUGCAGUCUUUACAAGUGCAGCCUGAAAUUCUGUCCCAGGGCCAGGUUUUGGUGCAGAAUGCUUUGGUGUCAGAAGAGGAGCUUCCAGCUGCAGAAGCUUUGGUCCAGUUGCCAUUUCAGACUCUUCCUCCUCCACAGACUGUUGCGGUAAACCUACAAGUACAACCACCAGCAUCCGUUGAUCCACCAGUGGUUUAUCAAGUAGAAGAUGUAUGUGAAGAAGAAAUGCCAGAGGAGUCAGAAGAAUGUGUCCGAAUGGAUAGAACUCCACCACCACCCACAUUGUCUCCAGCAGCUAUAACUGUGGGGAGAGGAGAAGAUUUGACUUCUGAGCAUCCUUUGUUAGAGCAAGUAGAAUUACCUGUUGUGGCAUCAGUCAGUGCUUCAGUAAUUAAAUCUCCAUCAGAUCCUUCACAUGUGUCUGUUCCUCCACCUCCACUCUUACUUCCAGCUGCUACCACAAGGAGUAAUAGUACAUCUAUGCCUAGUAGCAUACCCAGUGUAGAAAACAAACCUCCACAGGCUAUUGUUAAGCCACAGAUCUUGACCCAUGUUAUUGAAGGCUUUGUGAUUCAGGAGGGAUUGGAGCCAUUUCCUGUGAGUCGUUCAUCUCUGCUGAUUGAACAGCCUGUGAAAAAAAGGCCUAUUUUGGAUAAUCAGGUGAUAAAUUCUGUGUGUGUUCAGCCAGAGCUACAGAAUAAUGCAAAGCAUGCAGACAAUUCAUCUGACACAGAGAUGGAAGACAUGAUUGCUGAAGAGGCAUUAGAAGAAAUGGACAGUGAGUUGCUCAAGUGUGAAUUCUGUGGAAAGAUGGGGUAUGCUAAUGAAUUUCUGCGGUCAAAACGAUUCUGCACUAUGUCGUGUGCCAAAAGGUACAAUGUUAGCUGUUCUAAAAAAUUUGCACUUAGUCGUUGGAGUCGUAAGCCUGAUAAUCAAAGUCUUGGGCAUCGUGGCCGUCGUCCAAGUGGCCCUGAUGGGGCAGCAAGAGAACAUAUCCUUAGGCAGCUUCCAAUUACUUAUCCAUCUGCAGAAGAAGACUUGGCUUCUCAUGAAGAUUCUGUGCCGUCUGCUAUGACAACACGCCUGCGCAGGCAGAGUGAGCGGGAAAGAGAGCGUGAGCUUCGGGAUGUGAGAAUGAGGAAAAUGCCUGAGAACAGUGACUUGCUACCAGUUGCACAAACGGAGCCAUCUGUAUGGACAGUUGAUGACGUCUGGGCCUUCAUCCAUUCUUUGCCUGGCUGCCAGGAUAUCGCAGAUGAGUUCAGAGCACAGGAGAUUGAUGGACAGGCUCUUCUCUUGCUAAAAGAAGACCAUCUUAUGAGUGCAAUGAAUAUCAAGCUAGGCCCGGCCCUAAAGAUCUGUGCACGCAUCAACUCUCUGAAGGAAUCUUAAUGGGAUCAUGAGGCUUUGAGAUAACAGCAGUUUUAUUCUUAAACAAACUUGUAAGAGGUGUUGCUAUAUGCAGGGUGUGUGACAGAACUAUACGAAGAAGCUGGUGCUGAUUACUGUACAUUUUGAACUACACCCAGUAUUGACAGUGCAGUCACUUCUGAAAACUGAAAAAUCUCAGAAGAGCUUGCUGAACAGGUUUGGUUUUUAUUUUGUUUUUGUCUUUUUAAAGCAAGAAAGAUUACAUAAAAUUGUACUAUUACCACAAAUAUCUACUUUCUGGAAAGCACUCAUAUAUUGCAUAGUAAAAGGGUUUCCUUUAAAAUGCAGAACUGGUAAGCAGUAAAACAGUUUUGUGCUUGGAGCUUGAAUUUACAAGUAUUUGGGGAGUAAAUAUAGAAUGGGAGAAUUGAUUAAUUGGCAAGAAGGUCCCUUACCACCCAAGGAUUCUGUGAAUUACAUUGUGAUUUCCUAUUGACACAACUUUACAUAUUAAUAUCACUUGAUACUAACAUUCUCCAUAAAGAUACAAAAUGAAAAUAAAUUAAAAAGAUCUUUUAUGUAUCAUAGUUACAGCUUUUUAAAGCAGGAAAAUGUCCAAAUACGUGUUAGACUAGAAUCUAUAAUAAAGUGUUUGUAAACAGGAACACUAACAUCCAAGUGACCAGAUAGUCUGGGUUUAAAAAAAUUUUUCCAUGGUACUGGUUAAAACUUUUAAAAUAUUUUAACUUAACAUAGUUUUCCAAAUAUUUUUACUGUUAAAAUAUCUGUUACAUAAAUACUUUUUUGUAUGUGUAUUCUAAAUUUUUAAAAAAUCAGUGGGAGUGUGCAAAGAUGGUAUAAUUUUGGACAUCUAAUUUCUAAGACAUUUAACUAGAUUCCCAAUCACCUCAUUCAAAAGCUUGGUCUUUCUGUUUUUUCCAUAGGAAAAAAAAGUCAAAGUAAGCUCCAAAAAACUAUCCUCAAAGUAAGGGGUCAGCUUGUGCUGUAGGUCGGAGUUGUAGGCAGCAGUGUGCAGGAUGGAUACUGACACUGGUGUCAGGCAUUUCAAGCCUCUUUGUUGAAUUAGUGCUUUUUGUCUGCUGGCUUGUUGAAAACAUUUUUUGCUGUUGACUUAACAAAGGCAAAUUGUGAUAAACUUUUAAAAAUUUUUAUUUUUGAUGCUUUAUGCACAUGUUAACUGAUUUUUUAAUUCCUCCUUUUGCUUCCUCCCAUUGUUCUAAUUAAAUAGGACUUUCAUAUUAUUAAAACCUCAAACACUGACCCAACCAGGAUGAACAAAGCAUCACCAAGGGGAAAGAAAACAUUUUUUUAUCUUUACAAAAAACAAAUGUUAAGAUUAUAUAUAGAUGUAUUCUUUAUGUUGGAUAUUGUACUAGAGUCCUCCUUGCAGGGAAUGAAAUAGUUUUAGCACUCUUAGCAUUAGCGUUCCUAGCUUGGUGUCUAUAGCUACAGUUUUAAAAUGUAUAACCUGACAAUGAAGUUAAUUUUGCAUUAUAAGAGCACACCAUGAUCUAUGUAAAAAGAUUGUCCAUUUGGUGUAUUUUUUUAAAAAAGAGAAAGCACUUUCAUAUUAACAGUAGCAUGUGUAUGAAUUUUAGAUUUUCAUAUUUGUUGUGUCUGUAUUCAGUGAAGUAAAAUUGAACAUUUCAAAUGUUUGUUGAUGGCAACAUUAACUGUUAAAUUAAAGCACCUUAUACUCUGCUGCUUAAACUUGCUUGUAAUUGCACCUUUGUUACCUGCACAUUUUCACAUAGAAUAUUGUUGUAACAUUGCUUCAUGUGGGUCUGGAUGGAAGGUUAGUGGGCCUACAGGAUCAUUUAUUUAUAUUGUUUAUAUUACAAUAAUAUAUUGUAGACCAGUUGUAAGUUCAUUUCUUUACAAAUAAAAGCCUCUUCCAUUUGGCUGGUCAA